UCUCCGUAGGUGAACCUGCGGAGGGAUCAUUACAGAGUUCAUGCCCUCACGGGUAGAUCUCCCACCCUGUGUUAUUAUACUUUGUUGCUUUGGCAGGCCGCCCGCGUGGGCUACCGGCUCCAGUUGGUAAGUGCCUGCCAGAGGACCCCAAACUCUGAAUAUUUUAUUGUCUGAGUACUAUAUAAUAGUUUAAAACUUUCAACAACGGAUCUCUUGGUUCUG
Molecule: unclassified non-coding RNA, 222 nt
Filed under: plant metagenome
Description: partial contains small subunit ribosomal RNA, internal transcribed spacer 1, and 5.8S ribosomal RNA
Source: RNAcentral